RNAcentral lists this ribosomal RNA (284 nucleotides) under Xylophilus sp. July_NA4C8. Its description in RNAcentral is "partial 16S ribosomal RNA". It matches the Rfam family "Bacterial small subunit ribosomal RNA", at positions 1086 to 1372 of the family's 1533-position model. The record is from RNAcentral. Lineage: Bacteria; Pseudomonadati; Pseudomonadota; Betaproteobacteria; Burkholderiales.
CCCGCAACGAGCGCAACCCUUGUCAUUAGUUGCUACAUUUAGUUGGGCACUCUAAUGAGACUGCCGGUGAUAAACCGGAGGAAGGUGGGGAUGACGUCAAGUCCUCAUGGCCCUUAUAGGUGGGGCUACACACGUCAUACAAUGGCUGGUACAGAGGGUUGCCAACCCGCGAGGGGGAGCUAAUCCCAUAAAGCCAGUCGUAGUCCGGAUCGCAGUCUGCAACUCGACUGCGUGAAGUCGGAAUCGCUAGUAAUCGCGGAUCAGAAUGUCGCGGUGAAUACGUU